GCAUUAGUGGUUUAGUGGUAAAAUUAACCGUUGCCAUUGAUCUCUUAACUCAGGUGAUCAGUAAAUUCGGUUAGCCCCCGGUUCGAUUCCGGGCUAAUGCA
RNAcentral lists this transfer RNA (101 nucleotides) under Corynespora cassiicola Philippines. It matches the Rfam family "tRNA". From Rfam's summary of the family: Transfer RNA (tRNA) molecules are approximately 80 nucleotides in length. Their secondary structure includes four short double-helical elements and three loops (D, anti-codon, and T loops). Further hydrogen bonds mediate the characteristic L-shaped molecular structure. tRNAs have two regions of fundamental functional importance: the anti-codon, which is responsible for specific mRNA codon recognition, and the 3' end, to which the tRNAs corresponding amino acid is attached (by aminoacyl-tRNA synthetases). tRNAs cope with the degeneracy of the genetic code in two manners: having more than one tRNA (with a specific anti-codon) for a particular amino acid; and 'wobble' base-pairing, i.e. permitting non-standard base-pairing at the 3rd anti-codon position. The record is from Rfam by way of RNAcentral. Lineage: Eukaryota; Fungi; Ascomycota; Dothideomycetes; Pleosporales; Corynesporascaceae.